RNAcentral lists this ribosomal RNA (229 nucleotides) under uncultured bacterium. RNAcentral's name for it is "partial 16S ribosomal RNA". It matches the Rfam family "Bacterial small subunit ribosomal RNA", at positions 568 to 796 of the family's 1533-position model. The record is from RNAcentral.
UGCGCAGGUGGGCUUGUAAGUCAGUGGUGAAAUCUUGCCGCUUAACGGUAAAAUUGCCAUUGAUACUGCAAGUCUUGAGUAUGGUUGAGGUAGGUGGAAUGUGUUGUGUAGCGGUGAAGUGCAUAGAUAUGACACAGAACGCCGAUUGCGAAGGCAACUUACUAAGCCAUUACUGACGCUGAGGCACGAAAGCGUGGGGAGCGAACAGGAUUAGAUACCCUGGUAGUCC